Molecule: transfer RNA, 76 nt
Filed under: Candidatus Palibaumannia cicadellinicola
Lineage: Bacteria; Pseudomonadati; Pseudomonadota; Gammaproteobacteria
Description: Candidatus Baumannia cicadellinicola tRNA-Glu
Rfam family: tRNA
About the family: Transfer RNA (tRNA) molecules are approximately 80 nucleotides in length.
Source: RNAcentral
GUCCCCUUCGUCUAGUGGUCUAGGACGUUGCCCUUUCACGGCAGCAACAGGGGUUCAACUCCCCUAGGGGACGCUA